AUAAAGUAUGCAUAAGAAACAAAAACAUAUAUUUUUCUCAAUUCAUACUUGAUUAAUGUAUGAGCCUGAGCCUCACAAAUUAAAACAAAAGGAGGGAAGUUUGGUGGCUUAUUAUCCAGUCCCCUCAUUCUCAAAACAAACACACAGACAGGCAGACACAGAGAGAGAGAGAAUGGGAAUAGCCCUUCUCUCAGUGCAAGCCCCUCAUCCCAUCUCUCUCUCUCAGUUUCCUUCCACCAGCCCAAAGACUUGGUUGCAUGGCUCAGCAACUCUCAAAACAAAUCCUUCUAAGUCUGCCAUUCUUCUCUGUGCCGCUUCAGUUGUAGAAGGCCAAGGCCCUGCUUCUCCUCCACCUGAUGAUUCACUUGCUGCCCAAUCAGAAUCUGCCACUGAACCCACCAAAGAGCUUCCCCUGAGUGGUUGCAAGUCCUGUGGGAGAGAGGAAGUGGAGAAGGGAUGCAAUGGAGAGGGAAGGAUUCAAGGUGGAAUUGCAACUAUUCCAGGCUUUGGUUGGUGGCCAAUAAAGGCAUACAGGCCCUGUCCUGGAUUUUUGGCAUCAGGCGGCCGGUAUAGGCGGCAAGGACAAAGCUUGGAUGAGGUUGCCUUUGGAAGGGGAGGAAGAGG
Molecule: non-coding RNA, 624 nt
Organism: Prunus avium (sweet cherry)
Lineage: Eukaryota; Viridiplantae; Streptophyta; Magnoliopsida; Rosales; Rosaceae
Source: RefSeq, a predicted model, not a curated record